RNAcentral lists this ribosomal RNA (510 nucleotides) under uncultured bacterium. RNAcentral's name for it is "bacterial SSU rRNA". It matches the Rfam family "Bacterial small subunit ribosomal RNA", at positions 27 to 519 of the family's 1533-position model. The record is from RNAcentral.
GGAUGAACGCUGGCGGCGUGCCUAAUACAUGCAAGUCGAGCGAACAGAUAAGGAGCUUGCUCCUUUGAAGUUAGCGGCGGACGGGUGAGUAACACGUGGGUAACCUACCUAUAAGACUGGGAUAACUUCGGGAAACCGGAGCUAAUACCGGAUAAUAUUUAGAACCGCAUGGUUCUAAAGUGAAAGAUGGUUUUGCUAUCACUUAUAGAUGGACCCGCGCCGUAUUAGCUAGUUGGUAAGGUAACGGCUUACCAAGGCGACGAUACGUAGCCGACCUGAGAGGGUGAUCGGCCACACUGGAACUGAGACACGGUCCAGACUCCUACGGGAGGCAGCAGUAGGGAAUCUUCCGCAAUGGGCGAAAGCCUGACGGAGCAACGCCGCGUGAGUGAUGAAGGGUUUCGGCUCGUAAAACUCUGUUAUUAGGGAAGAACAAAUGUGUAAGUAACUGUGCACAUCUUGACGGUACCUAAUCAGAAAGCCACGGCUAACUACGUGCCAGCAGCCGCG